GAUGAACGCUGACAGAAUGCUUAACACAUGCAAGUCGAUGGGGAAGUGGUGCUUGCACCAUGGUAACCAUGGCGGACGGGUGAGUAACGCGUAAGGAACUUGCCUGCGGGACUGGGAUAACAGCAGGAAACUGCUGAUAAUACCGGAUAAGGUCAUUAAGCUGCAUAGCUUAGUGAUGAAAGGAGACGCCUGCGGAGAGCCUUGCGUCCUAUUAGCUAGUUGGAGGGGUAACGGCCCACCAAGGCGAAGAUAGGUAGCCGGCCUGAGAGGGUGGACGGCCACAAGGGGACUGAGAUACGGCCCUUACUUCUACGGGAGGCAGCAGUGGGGAAUAUUGGACAAUGGGGGCAACCCUGAUCCAGCAAUUCUGUGUGCACGAAGACGGUUUUCGGAUUGUAAAGUGCUUUCAGCAGGGAAGAAGGAAGUGACGGUACCUGCAGAAGAAGCGACGGCUAAAUACGUG
This 463-nucleotide ribosomal RNA is filed under the name uncultured bacterium. RNAcentral's name for it is "partial 16S ribosomal RNA". It matches the Rfam family "Bacterial small subunit ribosomal RNA", at positions 28 to 507 of the family's 1533-position model. The record is from RNAcentral.